This 837-nucleotide long non-coding RNA is filed under the name Mus spicilegus (steppe mouse). RNAcentral describes it as "lncRNA (ENSMSIG00000002851.1)". Lineage: Eukaryota; Metazoa; Chordata; Mammalia; Rodentia; Muridae. The record is from RNAcentral.
CUUCCUUCCUUCUUUCUUCUUCUUCUUCUCUCUCUCUCUCUCUCUCUUUCUCUCUCUCUCUCUCCUUUUCUUUCUCUCUUUCUUUCUCUCCUUUUUUCCCAGCGAUCAUUUCAGAAGACAGACACCAGGCUGCUUUGGUUUUAGAUAUGCGAACGCGCUGGGCAGGUUCUUCAUUUGACUGCUGACCUCAGCCAGAAAUGUUGAACCACUCAGCUACGAUCAUGGUUGAGUUGGAAGCAUGUCUAUGUGCUUGGGUACCAACACUUUUAACCCUACAACCACCAAGAAUGGGACAGGACAAUGUAUUUCAAGUUACAGUUGAAAGGCAGAACACACCUCUUCUCUGUGAGCUGAAAGAACAGAGAGGAACUUCUGAAAACACAGAAACAGAAGCCAAACUCAGAGAAAGAACUGACCUCCCAAUCAGGUAUAAUUUUAGAGACAGCAAGAAAAACACCUGCUGGGCUGCCUUGGGUAGCGACUCGAGGUAUAUUCUGUACAAUUUCUGUCUAUGAUGUACAUGACACUCUCUGGAGCCUCCUGGAUGAAGCUGCCCUUCCAUUUGACUUCAGGUACUUGAAGUUUAACAUUGUAUAAUAAGUAACUUGCAUGGAGCUGUUUAGUAUUAUCCAUCACACACUUCAAUACUAAAAGCCCCAGGGAUUUGCUACUGUCGUAAGGAGAUUUGAUAAACUUGAGAUACUUAUUGUUUUUCUUUUUUUUUGUGUGUGUGUGUGUUGUGUGUUUAUGUGUGUAUGCAUGUGUUGUGUAUGUUACUGAUUAAACAACUUUAUUUUAAGAGAACUUUAUUUCCUAGGAAUCAAACUAUGAUAGCAG